AUUGAACGCUGGCGGCAGGCCUAACACAUGCAAGUCGAGCGGAUGAAGGGAGCUUGCUCCUGGAUUCAGCGGCGGACGGGUGAGUAAUGCCUAGGAAUCUGCCUGGUAGUGGGGGAUAACGUCCGGAAACGGGCGCUAAUACCGCAUACGUCCUGAGGGAGAAAGUGGGGGAGCUUCGGACCUCACGCUAUCAGAUGAGCCUAGGUCGGAUUAGCUAGUUGGUGGGGUAAAGGCCUACCAAGGCGACGAUCCGUAACUGGUCUGAGAGGAUGAUCAGUCACACUGGAACUGAGACACGGUCCAGACUCCUACGGGAGGCAGCAGUGGGGAAUAUUGGACAAUGGGCGAAAGCCUGAUCCAGCCAUGCCGCGUGUGUGAAGAAGGUCUUCGGAUUGUAAAGCACUUUAAGCUGGAAGGAAGGGCAGUAAGUUAAUACCUUGCUGUUUUGACGUUACCAACAGAAUAAGCACCGGCUAACUUCGUG
Molecule: ribosomal RNA, 484 nt
Filed under: uncultured bacterium
Lineage: Bacteria
Description: partial 16S ribosomal RNA
Rfam family: Bacterial small subunit ribosomal RNA
Source: RNAcentral